This 76-nucleotide transfer RNA is filed under the name Candidatus Peribacteraceae bacterium. RNAcentral describes it as "tRNA-Phe". It matches the Rfam family "tRNA". Rfam says of the family: Transfer RNA (tRNA) molecules are approximately 80 nucleotides in length. Their secondary structure includes four short double-helical elements and three loops (D, anti-codon, and T loops). Further hydrogen bonds mediate the characteristic L-shaped molecular structure. tRNAs have two regions of fundamental functional importance: the anti-codon, which is responsible for specific mRNA codon recognition, and the 3' end, to which the tRNAs corresponding amino acid is attached (by aminoacyl-tRNA synthetases). tRNAs cope with the degeneracy of the genetic code in two manners: having more than one tRNA (with a specific anti-codon) for a particular amino acid; and 'wobble' base-pairing, i.e. permitting non-standard base-pairing at the 3rd anti-codon position. Lineage: Bacteria; Candidatus Peregrinibacteriota; Candidatus Peribacteria; Candidatus Peribacterales. The record is from RNAcentral.
GGCCCGGUAGCUCAGUUGGUAGAGCACUCGCUUGAAGAGCGAGGUGUCGUCAGUUCGAUCCUGACCUGGGCCACCA